UUAUUGAGAGUUUGAUCCUGGCUCAGGACGAACGCUGGCGGCGUGCCUAACACAUGCAAGUCGAACGAAGCUCCCCGAUACAAGGCUUCGGCCAAGUUGAAGGGAUGACUUAGUGGCGGACGGGUGAGUAACGCGUGAGGAACCUGCCUUUCAGUGGGGGACAACAGUUGGAAACGACUGCUAAUACCGCAUAAUGUUUCUGGACCGCAUGAUCUGGAAACCAAAGCUUUAUGUGCUGAAAGAUGGCCUCGCGUCUGAUUAGAUAGUUGGUGAGGUAACGGCCCACCAAGUCUACGAUCAGUAGCCGGACUGAGAGGUUGAACGGCCACAUUGGGACUGAGAUACGGCCCAGACUCCUAC
RNAcentral lists this ribosomal RNA (360 nucleotides) under Clostridia bacterium. Its description in RNAcentral is "bacterial SSU rRNA". It matches the Rfam family "Bacterial small subunit ribosomal RNA", at positions 1 to 342 of the family's 1533-position model. Lineage: Bacteria; Bacillati; Bacillota; Clostridia. The record is from RNAcentral.